GGGGUUGUGGCUCAGUGGUAGUGCUCACCUAUCACUCGUGAGGCACUGGGUUCUAUCCUCAGCACCACA
RNAcentral lists this transfer RNA (69 nucleotides) under Marmota monax (woodchuck). Its description in RNAcentral is "tRNA.SeC". Lineage: Eukaryota; Metazoa; Chordata; Mammalia; Rodentia; Sciuridae. The record is from RNAcentral.